RNAcentral lists this long non-coding RNA (4040 nucleotides) under Octopus vulgaris (common octopus). Lineage: Eukaryota; Metazoa; Mollusca; Cephalopoda; Octopoda; Octopodidae. The record is from RNAcentral.
CACACACACACACACAUAUAUUUGUGUGUGUAUCUGUUUCUUUACCUUUGUGCUUCUCCAAAAUAAGUCACCCAAGUUACAGGUAGUGGGGUUACAGUAAUUUUUUCCCAGUCAACGAGUUGUUUAUUGACUCGGCAUCUUCAAUAAUAUGUGGAGUAAGGUAUCCCUUACUUGCAGUGUAUUGCAAGGUUUGUGAGAGAAGAGGCAUCCAAAUGUUACACAAAAUAUAUUCCUCUGAUUUCUACUCAUUUAGAAAAAUGGACGUAAAAAUGAACCCACAAUACAUACAUUUGUACAUAUAUACACACACAUAUAUAUAUAUGUGUGUGUAUUUGUGUAUGUAUGCAUGCUCAGUUGAGGGGGUCUUGUCUUGCAAAUUACUUGGUGAUUUCACUGCUGUUGGUGACACAUGAAAAGCAUCCAGUACACUCUGCAAAGUGGGAGGCUUUUAGAAGGGCAUCCAGCUGUAGGAAUCAUGCCGAAGCAGAUGGCUGGGAUUGGUGCAGGCUUCUUACCUGCCACUUUCUCUGGAACCCUCCAACCCAUGCCGGCACAGAAAACAGAUGUUAAAUGAUGAGGAUAAUAAGUAGUGUAAAAACAACAACACAAAGGAUGAAGUAAAAACAAAGUGAAACAUAGUGUAUAUUAGGUUGACACUCAGGAAAUGGGGGAAAAAGUAUAUAUAUAUAUGUAUAUACAUAUAUAUAUAUAUAUACAUAUAUAUAUAUAUAUAUAUAUAUACACACACACACACACUCAAUCCUUUCUACAAUUGGCACAAGGCCUGAAAGUUUGGUGGUGGUGAUGGUUAGUUGAUUGUAUUGGUCCCUGUGCCUCACUGGUUCUUAUUUUAUCAAGCCCGAAAGGAUGAAGGGCAAAGUCAACCUUGGUGGAAUUUGAACUCCGAAUGUAAAAAUGGGUUAAAUACCACUAAGCAUUUUGUUCAGCAUUGCUAACAGUUUCACCAGCUCACUGCCUUAAUUUAUAAAUGAGUUUGCGUGGGCAUAUGUAUAUGCAUUAACUCUUUUGUGUGGGUGUAUAUAUAUAUGUAUAUAUGCAUUAACUCUUUUUUCUAUACACACACGCAUGCACACACACACACACACAUAUAUAUAUAUUACUCUUUUCAGUCAUUUGACUGUGGCCAUGCUGGAGCACCACCUUUAGUCGAGCAAAUCGACCCCAGGACAUAUUCUUUGUAAGCCUAGUACUUAUUCUCUCUGUCUCUUUUGCUGAACCGCUAAGUUACGGGGACGUAAAUGCACCAGCAUCAGUUGUCAAGUGAUGUUGGGGGAACAAACACAGACACACAAACAUAUACACACACACACACAUACACAUAUAUAUAUUCAUAUAUAUGAUGGGCUUCUUUCAGUUUGUGUCUACCAAAUCCACUCACAAGGCUUUGGUAGGCGCGAGGCUAUAGUUGAAGAUACUUGUCCAAGGUGCCACGCAGUGGGACUGAACCUGGAACCAUGUGGUUGGUAAGCAAGCUACUUACCACACAGCCACUCCUAUGCCUAGGAGUGUGUGUGGAAGAAAGAGUUAAUGCAAUCUGUUUUAGCUGAGAUCUGAAAACAUGACAACUGUUAACUUUAUAGUUUUCUUUUUUAUCUGUUUUGUGCCAUUUCACUAUUAUUAUUAUUAUUAUUUUUGUUUGGUCUUCCAAUCCUGUAACAGCUUUCACACACAUUGUGGGCACCCAUUCACUUCUCUUUCUGUCCAGCUCUUCCACUGUGAACCCUUUUUAUAUUCAACAGUUUCGUAAGAAACUAAUCUUUAUAUUCUAAAAUGCCACUUGCAAUUGCUCUGCUACACCUGCUCAUUUUUGUUUUUCUUUUUCCUCCUUUUUUUAUUUUUUGCAUAUGUGUGUGUAGUUUUUAGUUUGUUUUAUUGUUGCUCUUUUCAUUUUCUUCAUCUCGAAGACAAUCUUACCCCAGAACCAUGACAAAUUUUAUUGGCUUAGGCCAGUGGGUGACAGAAUGUGUAGAGACCAUUGAACGAAAUGCCUUGCAGCCUUGCCGUAUUUAAUUACAUCUGUUUAAGUUUCAAGUGGAAAUCCAGCUGAGGCUGAUUUAAUCAAUGUUACACAUACCCCUUUCCCCACCAUACUUCAAAAAUCUGUUGUAUUUGUGCUCAUGUUAGUUAUAUUAUUAUUAUUAUUAAAAUAAACUGCCAGCCAAAUACCGGGAUUGAAGGUACCAGCUAACACUUCUCUCCUCAAUAUGGUUGGUUUUGUACCUAAAUCAGCUCAACUUUGCCUUUCAUCCUUUCAGGGUUGAUAAAAUAAGUACCAGUCAAGUACUGGGGUUGAAGUAAUCAACUAUCCACCUCCCCACAAAAUAUCAAGCCUGGUGCCUGUAGCUGAAAGGAUUAUUUUUGUUGUUAUUAUUGUUAGGGUCCAUAAGGCAGUGAGCUGGCAGAAUCAUUAGCACGGUGGAUGAAACACUUAGUGGUAUUUCGCCCAUCGCUAUAUUCUGAGUUCAAAUUCCACUGAGGUCGACUUUGCUUUUCAUCCUUUUGGGGUUGAUAAAUUAAGUACCAGUUUCGCACUGGGGUCGAUAUAAUCGACUUGUCCCCCACCCUACAAAUUUGAGACCUUGUGCCUCCAGUAAAAAAGAUUAUUUUUAGGGUUCAUAACGAUUCUCCAAGCUUGUUGGGUGAAUCCUUAUGCUUAAUGGCUUUUCUUCAAAUUCCACCAAGGUUGACUUUGCCUUUCAUCCUUUCAGAUUAGUCAAUUACAUUGACAGGAGUCAAUGUAAUUAACUAACACUGCCCCCCACUUAAAAUUACUUGUGCUGGAAUUGGGAAGAAUUAUUGCUAUUUCAGGUGGUGAGCUGGCAAAAUCGUUAGUGUGCUGGUCAAAAUGUUUUGUUGCAUUUCAUAUGUCUUUACAUUCUGAGUUCAGAUUCCACCAAGGUCAGUUUUGCUUAUCAUUCUUUUGGGAUGAAAUAAGUACUAGAAAUAAGAGCUGUGGGGUCAAUGUAAUCAAGUAUAGCCCCCCGUCUCACAAAAUGCUUUAGAACUUGUGCCUGUAGUAGAAAGGAUUAUUGUUAUUAUUAUUAUCAUUAUUGAGUGAGAGAGCAGUGCAUGCCAUCAAAGUGACACUGGGGCAAAAUAUACGAAGCCCAGUAUACCCAUCAUGACAACCCGUCUGAUAAGGGUACACCAGGCACAUGCAUCACAACCAUAUGUGUGCGACAUGGUAAUCUCAUAUCAAGAUAAAGAGUACAUGACCUUGCAGGUGGGGCCCAGUUAGAAUUUUCUUCUGGUCGAGUAACCCAUCCCGCUCAAAAGGUCCCUGAAUAAGGGUUGUUCAAGGAUGUUGAACGAACCACUCAUGUUUCCAAAGGUGAAUUAUCUAAACCUCUAAGAAUUCCUUUCAACACAUGGCUAUGAUGCUCCCCCACUUAUCAUUUUUAUUAUUAUUAUUAUUAUUAUUAUUAUUAUUAUUAUUAUUAUUAUUAUUAUUAUUAUUGGCAGGGUUAGAGUGUAAUUCUAUGUUUAAAGAAAUUGGUAGAUAUGAUUCCAUUCACGUUUGAAAUAGUUUCACUUCUGCUCUGCUCUGGUGCCAUUUGCAAAAAGUAUUGAGUCUUCACGUCCCUUGCUUCUUUCUCUUUCUGUCUGUCUCUGUCCCUCCCCAACAGCCUGUAUGCUUCAUCUCAUUUUUUUAACCCCUUCUUUUAACCCUUAGUCAUUAGUUCUGUCUCAGUUGAAACAUUACAUGUUGUCAAUUCAUAGAGCUGAUUCCAAUACGUUUUUUCAUGCAUGUCUCAUAUUCUUGUAGUGCUUGUGUGUGUGUCUGUGUAUUUCAUUUUUGUGUUUGAUAAACUGCCCACCACCACCUCCACGUUUACAGACGUGAAUGUAUUUGUGAAUAUAUUGUUUGGCAUGCAUGUGUGCUUCUUUGCAUCCAUAUAUGUAUGGCUGGCUAAAGCAAUGGAUGCAUGGUUGUAUUUACAUUGUACAUUUGUUGUAUUCUUAAACUAUCUCCUGUAUAAAAAGGAACCAGCAAUAACUGGGUGAACUGUAGCAAAAGU